RNAcentral lists this ribosomal RNA (517 nucleotides) under uncultured Glomus. RNAcentral describes it as "SSU rRNA". It matches the Rfam family "Eukaryotic small subunit ribosomal RNA", at positions 569 to 1081 of the family's 1831-position model. The record is from RNAcentral. Lineage: Eukaryota; Fungi; Glomeromycota; Glomeromycetes; Glomerales; Glomeraceae.
AGCAGCCGCGGUAAUUCCAGCUCCGAUAGCGUAUAUUAAAGUUGCUGCAGUUAAAAAGCUCGUAGUUGAAUUUCGGGACCAAUAUGUCGGUCGUGCCUCGGUACGUACUGGCAUCGUUGGUUUCUCCCCUCUGACGAACCAUGAUGUCAUUUAUUUGGUGUCGUGGGGAAUCAGGACUGUUACUUUGAAAAAAUUAGAGUGUUUAAAGCAGGCUCACGCUUGAAUACAUUAGCAUGGAAUAAUGAAAUAGGACGUUUGAUUCUAUUUUGUUGGUUUCUAGGAUCAACGUAAUGAUUAAUAGGGAUAGUUGGGGGCAUUAGUAUUCAAUUGUCAGAGGUGAAAUUCUUGGAUUUAUUGAAGACUAACUACUGCGAAAGCAUUUGCCAAGGAUGUUUUCAUUAAUCAAGAACGAAAGUUAGGGGAUCGAAGACGAUCAGAUACCGUCGUAGUCUUAACCUAUAAACUAUAGCCGACCUAGGGAGUCGGAUGAUAGUUAAUUAUUUUAAUGUACUCAUUC